Molecule: ribosomal RNA, 702 nt
Filed under: Alcaligenes sp.
Lineage: Bacteria; Pseudomonadati; Pseudomonadota; Betaproteobacteria; Burkholderiales; Alcaligenaceae
Description: bacterial SSU rRNA
Rfam family: Bacterial small subunit ribosomal RNA
Source: RNAcentral
GGACCGAGAUGUCUGUAGCUGUUGGGGCCGUUAAGCCUUAUUAUGGCAGCUUAAGCGUGAAGUUGACCGCCUGGGGAGUACGGUCGCAAGAUUAAAACUCACAGGAAUUGACGGGGACCCCCACAAGCGGUGGAUGAUGUGGAUUAAUUCUAUGCAACGCGAAAAAACUUACCUACCCUUGACAUGUCUGGAAAGCCGAAGAAAUUUGGCCGUGCUCGCUAGAGAACCGGAACACAGGUGCUGCAUGGCUGUCGUCAGCUCGUGUCGUGAGAUGUUGGGUUAAGUCCCGCAACGAGCGCAACCCUUGUCAUUAGUUGCUACGCAAGAGCACUCUAAUGAGACUGCCGGUGACAAACCGGAGGAAGGUGGGGAUGACGUCAAGUCCUCAUGGCCCUUAUGGGUAGGGCUUCACACGUCAUACAAUGGUCGGGACAGAGGGUCGCCAACCCGCGAGGGGGAGCCAAUCUCAAAAACCCGAUCGUAUUCCGGAUCGCAGUCUGCAACUCGACUGCGUGAAGUCGGAAUCGCUAGUAAUCGCGGAUCAGAAUGUCGCGGUGAAUACGUUCCCGGGUCUUGUACACACCGCCCGUCACACCAUGGGAGUGGGUUUCACCAGAAGUAGGUAGCCUAACCGCAAGGAGGGCGCUUACCACGGUGGGAUUCAUGACUGGGGUGAAGUCGUACCGGGAACCAAAAACAAAA